AAGCGCUGGCAAUCAGACUUGAGCGCGGCGGUUCCCCCGGCCUUUUGGCCGGGCUACUCCGUCGCGUCCAGGCCAACAUCGGUUCUGAGGGUCGGUCAAAGGCCCCGGGAAUGUACCUACCCACGGGUAGACUUAUAGACCGGGGUGUCAUGCGGCCUCUCGGGACCGAGGAACGCGCUUCGGCUCGGAUGUUGGCGUAAUGGUUGUCAGCGA
This 213-nucleotide ribosomal RNA is filed under the name Phialophora sp. Its description in RNAcentral is "partial large subunit ribosomal RNA". Lineage: Eukaryota; Fungi; Ascomycota; Eurotiomycetes; Chaetothyriales; Herpotrichiellaceae. The record is from RNAcentral.